GACGAACGCUGGCGGCGUGCUUAACACAUGCAAGUCGAGCGGUAAGGCCUUUCGGGGGUACACGAGCGGCGAACGGGUGAGUAACACGUGGGUGACCUGCCUUUAGCUUCGGGAUAAGCCUGGGAAACCGGGUCUAAUACCGGAUAUGACCUCAUGUCGCAUGGUGUGGGGUGGAAAGUUCUUCGGCUAGAGAUGGGCCCGCGGCCUAUCAGCUUGUUGGUGGGGUGAUGGCCUACCAAGGCGACGACGGGUAGCCGGCCUGAGAGGGCGACCGGCCACACUGGGACUGAGACACGGCCCAGACUCCUACGGGAGGCAGCAGUGGGAAUCUUGCGCAAUGGGCGAAAGCCUGACGCAGCGACGCCGCGUGAGGGAUGACGGCCU
This 384-nucleotide ribosomal RNA is filed under the name uncultured bacterium. RNAcentral describes it as "bacterial SSU rRNA". It matches the Rfam family "Bacterial small subunit ribosomal RNA", at positions 28 to 417 of the family's 1533-position model. The record is from RNAcentral.